GGGUUGCAUUAAAAUGUCACAUCUUCUUUUUGUAAAUACAUUGCUACAACCGCCCCAGACAAUGUAUGAUUUGCCACAUUGUAAUCGCUGCGUAAACUGACCGAUAAUAGUAUUUAUGAGACCUUCAAAAGGAAGGUGAGGAAAGAUGGUUCGUUAACUUCUCGGUGCAUCUGCUGAAUCGACCUGUUUGAGAGUUAAGCACAGUGACGGGGGAAGCCAUUCACUUCACUGCAUUUCUCAAUGUUUUUGAAGGAUAAAUCUGGUUCAUUUCAACAUGUUUAUAACCUUUCUAGCUCCAACAGAAAAUGCUUUCGGUUAUGACAUUUCACUCACAAAAUGAACAAAUGAAGUCCAACUGGGUAAAACACAACUAAUGCGAGCACAGUUUCUCUCUAAACUGUGUGGCCAUUGUACAGUGUGCUCCCUCCAAAAAGGUUAAGCUAAAAUUGGGGCUUUGUUUACAACCUGACCGCUCGUGCUUUCGUUGAUUUAUUUUUUUACCAAUGUUGCUGUGUUCGAAGAUCUGAAAAUUGAGGUUGGCUUCAUAAAAUAUUACCGUGAGUGAAGGCAAAAAGAGUUUUACGGAACUGAAUUAUCCUUUGAUCUCAAGAGACCAGUGUGGAGGAUUAAAGAGGAUUCAUCAGCAAAAAUACAAUGGAACAUUAACAAGAAUAUUUUCACUGACGUUUAAUCAAGUGACCGUUUUGUUAACUUAGAAUGAUGCCUCCGUAUCAACAUCCGGGUCCUGUUUAUUGAUCGUUGCUCUGCCAUGUUUCUACAGUAGCCCAGGAGGGACAAACACUGAAUCCAGACAGGCCCCUCAGUCUGUUAAGGUCCCCGUAGUUCUUGGAUAGAGAGUGAUGUCCAGUGAGAAGUACAGUUAUAUUAUUUUAUUCAAUCAAACUUGUAUUCUGUAGAUUUCACCAAAUGCUACACACUGGUCCUUUUAAGAACACCAAACCAAAUGUCUCCAUUACUAAACACUGUAUCUGACCUUAUUGUGUGACAGUGAUUCCACAUUCUUUGAAACAUACAAAACCACAUCAGCGAGUUUCUUUCUCUGUUCCCCAAAAAUACUAUUUGGCACAUCAAGCCCACAGGGAGCUGCUACCUGAUAGCGAUUCCAUUGGCGUUUUUGAAGGACUUCUUCGACGAGGCAGCGGCUCUGACAUGUACCUUUUCAUCCGG
Long non-coding RNA from Gasterosteus aculeatus aculeatus (three-spined stickleback), 1188 nucleotides. The record is from Ensembl. NCBI's taxonomy places the organism in Eukaryota, Metazoa, Chordata, Actinopteri, Perciformes, Gasterosteidae.